RNAcentral lists this ribosomal RNA (221 nucleotides) under uncultured bacterium. RNAcentral's name for it is "partial 16S ribosomal RNA". It matches the Rfam family "Bacterial small subunit ribosomal RNA", at positions 1281 to 1500 of the family's 1533-position model. The record is from RNAcentral.
CUAGGUCUCAGUUCAGAUUGCAGGCUGCAACCCGCCUGCAUGAAGUCGGAAUUGCUAGUAAUCGCGGAUCAGCAUGCCGCGGUGAAUACGUUCCCGGGCCUUGUACACACCGCCCGUCACACCAUGGGAGCCGGUAAUACCCCGAAGUCAGUAGUCCAACCUCGUGAGGACGCUGCCGAAGGUAGGAUUGGCGACUGGGGGUGAAGUCGUAACAAGGUAGC